This 333-nucleotide ribosomal RNA is filed under the name Triticum aestivum (bread wheat). RNAcentral's name for it is "partial small subunit ribosomal RNA". The record is from RNAcentral. Lineage: Eukaryota; Viridiplantae; Streptophyta; Magnoliopsida; Poales; Poaceae.
AUGGGAGAUCUCAAUGAACUUUUGUAUGAUGUGAAUAAAAGUAAUGCUAAUGUGAAUUAUCGUGUGUAUGCUUUUUGUACUUUGAUCAAGAAUUGUGGUUUUUUUGAUUUGGGGUUCUCGGGUCCUGCUUAUACUUGGAUUAAUAGAAGAUUUUCUUCCAAACCUACUCAUGAAAGGCUUGAUAGAGGUUUAUUUAAUCCUGAUUAGUGUGCUGAGUACCCCCUCACUAAAGUUCUUAACCUUCGCAUUAUUCUUAGUGAUCACGCUCCCAUCCUUAUUAUCACUGAAGUUAGGUACAGAAAACCUAAACAAAGUUUCAAGAUCGAUAAUUGA